RNAcentral lists this ribosomal RNA (443 nucleotides) under uncultured bacterium. RNAcentral's name for it is "partial 16S ribosomal RNA". It matches the Rfam family "Bacterial small subunit ribosomal RNA", at positions 338 to 795 of the family's 1533-position model. The record is from RNAcentral.
CCUACGGGUGGCAGCAGUGGGGAAUAUUGCACAAUGGGGGAAACCCUGAUGCAGCAACGCCGCGUGAAGGAAGACGGUUUUCGGAUUGUAAACUUCUAUCAAUAGGGAAGAAAGAAAUGACGGUACCUAAAUAAGAAGCCCCCGCUAACUACGUGCCAGCAGCCGCGGUAAUACGUAGGGGGCAAGCGUUAGUCGGAAUUACUGGGUGUAAAGGGAGAUUAGGAGGAAAGAUAAGCGAUACGGUAAAGCCUUGAGCUUAACGUAAGUAUGGCAUAACAAACUGGUUAGCUAGAGUACUGGAGAGGAAAGCGGAAUUACUAGUGUAGCGGUGAAAUGCGUAGAUAUUAGGAAGAACACCAGUGGCGAAGGCGGCUUGCUGGACUGAAACUGACGCUGAGGCUCGAAAGCGUGGGGAGCGAACAGGAUUAGAUACCCUUGUAGUC